CGGGUGAGUAACACGUGGAUAACCUACCUAUAAGACUGGGAUAACUUCGGGAAACCGGAGCUAAUACCGGAUAAUAUUUUGAACCGCAUGAUUCAAAAGUGAAAGACGGUCUUGCUGUCACUUAUAGAUGGAUCCGCGCUGCAUUAGCUAGUUGGUAAGGUAACGGCUUACCAAGGCAACGAUGCAUAGCCGACCUGAGAGGGUGAUCGGCCACACUGGAACUGAGACACGGUCCAGACUCCUACGGGAGGCAGCAGUAGGGAAUCUUCCGCAACGGGCGAAAGCCUGACGGAGCAACGCCGCGUGAGUGAUGAAGGUCUUCGGAUCGUAAAACUCUGUUAUUAGGGAAGAACAUAUGUGUAAGUAACUGUGCACAUCUUGACGGUACCUAAUCAGAAAGCCACGGCUAACUACGUGCCAGCAGCCGCGGUAAUACGUAGGUGGCAAGCGUUAUCCGGAAUUAUUGGGCGUAAAGCGCGCGUAGGCGGUUUUUUAAGUCUGAUGUGAAAGCCCACGGCUCAACCGUGGAGGGUCAUUGGAAACUGGAAAACUUGAGUGCAGAAGAGGAAAGUGGAAUUCCAUGUGUAGCGGUGAAAUGCGCAGAGAUAUGGAGGAACACCAGUGGCGAAGGCGACUUUCUGGUCUGUAACUGACGCUGAUGUGCGAAAGCGUGGGGAUCAAACAGGAUUAGAUACCCUGGUAGUCCACGCCGUAAACGAUGAGUGCUAAGUGUUAGGGGGUUUCCGCCCCUUAGUGCUGCAGCUAACGCAUUAAGCACUCCGCCUGGGGAGUACGACCGCAAGUG
RNAcentral lists this ribosomal RNA (805 nucleotides) under uncultured Staphylococcus sp. Its description in RNAcentral is "bacterial SSU rRNA". It matches the Rfam family "Bacterial small subunit ribosomal RNA", at positions 103 to 894 of the family's 1533-position model. Lineage: Bacteria; Bacillati; Bacillota; Bacilli; Caryophanales; Staphylococcaceae. The record is from RNAcentral.